GACCUCGUAGCUCAGUUGGUAGAGCAUUGGACUAGUAUCCCAAAGGUCGCAGGUUCGAUUCCCACCGUGGUCA
RNAcentral lists this transfer RNA (73 nucleotides) under Paramuricea clavata. It matches the Rfam family "tRNA". Rfam says of the family: Transfer RNA (tRNA) molecules are approximately 80 nucleotides in length. Their secondary structure includes four short double-helical elements and three loops (D, anti-codon, and T loops). Further hydrogen bonds mediate the characteristic L-shaped molecular structure. tRNAs have two regions of fundamental functional importance: the anti-codon, which is responsible for specific mRNA codon recognition, and the 3' end, to which the tRNAs corresponding amino acid is attached (by aminoacyl-tRNA synthetases). tRNAs cope with the degeneracy of the genetic code in two manners: having more than one tRNA (with a specific anti-codon) for a particular amino acid; and 'wobble' base-pairing, i.e. permitting non-standard base-pairing at the 3rd anti-codon position. Lineage: Eukaryota; Metazoa; Cnidaria; Anthozoa; Malacalcyonacea; Plexauridae. The record is from Rfam by way of RNAcentral.